This 375-nucleotide ribosomal RNA is filed under the name uncultured organism. RNAcentral's name for it is "partial 16S ribosomal RNA". It matches the Rfam family "Bacterial small subunit ribosomal RNA", at positions 525 to 896 of the family's 1533-position model. The record is from RNAcentral.
AGAGGGGGUGCAAGCGUUAAUCGGAAUUACUGGGCGUAAAGGGCGCGUAGGUGGGUAAUUUAAGUUGGAUGUGAAAAGCCUGGGGCUUAACCUGGGUCUGCCAUCCAAUACUGGGAUACUAGAGUACAGUAGAGGGAAGUGGAAUUUCCGGUGUAGCGGUGAAAUGCGUAGAUAUCGGAAGGAACACCAGUGGCGAAGGCGGCUUCCUGGACUGAUACUGACACUGAGGCGCGAAAGCGUGGGGAGCAAACAGGAUUAGAUACCCUGGUAGUCCACGCUGUAAACGAUGAGAACUAGCCGUUGGAAGAGUAAAAUCUUUAAGUGGCGCAGCUAACGCAUUAAGUUCUCCGCCUGGGGAGUACGGCCGCAAGGCUA